UACGAAGGGGGCUAGCGUUGUUCGGAAUUACUGGGCGUAAAGCGCGCGCAGGCGGUUUUUCAAGUCAGUGGUGAAAGCCCGGAGCUCAACUCCGGAAAUGCCAUUGAAACUGUAAAACUUGAGGACGAGAGAGGUGAGUGGAAUUCCCAGUGUAGAGGUGAAAUUCGUAGAUAUUGGGAAGAACACCGGUGGCGAAGGCGGCUCACUGGCUCGUUUCUGACGCUCAGGCGCGAUAGCGUGGGGAGCAAACAGG
Molecule: ribosomal RNA, 253 nt
Filed under: uncultured bacterium
Lineage: Bacteria
Description: partial 16S ribosomal RNA
Rfam family: Bacterial small subunit ribosomal RNA
Source: RNAcentral